This 24-nucleotide non-coding RNA is filed under the name Arabidopsis thaliana (thale cress). The record is from RNAcentral. Lineage: Eukaryota; Viridiplantae; Streptophyta; Magnoliopsida; Brassicales; Brassicaceae.
AGUGAGACACCUGAAGAGACCCAA